CUUGGGAGCAAAGGCAUUGUCUGUGCAUGAAAUGAAUGAGUUCCUCAUGGAAGGUGCUCUGUGGACAACUCCUUUUUAUCUUCACAAGUCCUGGAGAAACAACAGUGGAUUCCCUUGCCUUACUUCACCCCUAGGCUGGUCCCCUGCAUGUGUCUCUCACGUAAGGAGCUCUGUUUGAUUGCUCUCCUUUUCUGUGGAGAAAAUCCAAGGUGCAACUUCUCCAAACAUGGCAAUACCUCAGAGAGAGCCAUCACUUGUGAUUUGACCUGUAUUUGUCAGUGCAGUGUCUCAGUGCACUGGGACUAGAAAGGAAAAGAAUGAAUACUAAUAUUUUGGUGUCAUGGAGAAGCCUGCCUGUCCUGCUUCGUCUUUCAAGAUACAUAUAUUAUGAAGAGAUGUGGUAAUAGGUAGCAGAAUCUCUCUCUUACCUGCAGUCGAGCCACAGUUACAGUUUUCCAGUUCUUGUGUUGAUGACUUGUAAAUCUGUUAGCUGAAAGCAUGCACCUCUUCUGGAGGAAAUGGCAACAAGAGUGAGGGGAUUUUCAUUUGACUUCUAUAGAGAAAUAUACACCAAAAUGUAUACUUUCUUGGACCACAGAAAAUGUUAAGGAAAUGUCUCAAAGUAAUGUUGAAUCUGUAACAGGAGUAAAUCUGGACUACUUUCUUCUUGGAAGAUUUUAUCAACUUCUGUUAAACAGUCAUCCCCUAAACAGACAUCAAGUCUUUAUGCAUGUGAAAAAGCCCAUGAUUGGACUACUUGUGUUGAGAUCAUAAUAAAAUAUCUGUAAUAGAGGGACUCUUA
Hirundo rustica (Barn swallow) is the source of this 802-nucleotide long non-coding RNA. RefSeq lists it as uncharacterized. The record is from RefSeq and is a predicted model, not a curated record. The transcript is spliced from 3 exons. Lineage: Eukaryota; Metazoa; Chordata; Aves; Passeriformes; Hirundinidae.